This 418-nucleotide ribosomal RNA is filed under the name uncultured fungus. RNAcentral describes it as "eukaryotic LSU rRNA". The record is from RNAcentral. Lineage: Eukaryota; Fungi.
AGAGUAAAAUAGUACGUGAAAUUGUUGAAAGGGAAACGAUUGAAGUCAGUCGUACCGACGAGAAAUCAGCUCUUCGAGUGCGAACUUGCGGGCGUGCGUGAGUCUUUAACGGGCCUCGCUUGUUUGCAAUGUUUGUGCUUCUUGGGUGUACUUUUUCGUAUGGUAGGCCAACGUCAGUUUCGAUUGCCGUAAAAUGAUCGGAGGAAUGUAGCUUCGAUCUCGUAUUGAAGUGUUAUAGCCUCUGGUAGAUGCGGUGAUCGAAACUGAGGAUUGCAACGAAUACCCUUUGGGCUAUCCGUCUGACCUCUGAAAGUUACUUAGGUGCUGAAAGCGUGCUUACGGUAUUUAAGUUGACGGUCAACAGGUUAGAACGCGAUUACAUUCGUUAAGGACGUUGGCGUAAUGGCUUUAAACGACC